CCCCCCGCAAUCGGAUUCUUCCACUUUGGAGGUGCCAUAGCUCUGGCUGGAUGAUUUAUGGCUAUCCUUCUGCUUUUUGUACGGAAAUAAAAGUUAACCAUGUGCCGUGCACCUAACAUGACAGCUGAAACAAAGCAGUGCAUUUUAUCAUACAAGAUUCCAGCAACAGCCUAUCACAAGCGAGAGAAACCUCUUGCUGAAGCUUCUCCAUCUGCCGUGGCUAAUGAUGGUGCUCUAUGUGGCCUGGAGCAGAACUGGAUGAGGGAGAUUUACACCCACAGCCCUCCAGGGUCCUCGGGACAGCACCGCUCUCUAAAACAGAGUCACUCCAUCACUUUCCAUAUGAUAGCUGGAAAAGCCGGUAACAAUGGGCCCGCAACAAUGUCUUUUUGUGUAACUGACAGGUACCUUUUUUGGUUGACAUAACCUGCCGCGAUGUCUGAGAAGUGGCACUAGGCGCAGUGGGAAGUGGAUGUCAGUUACACCAUUGAGACGGCAACAAUCAUACCUGACUUUACUUGACAAGAUACUUAGUAAUGAGUGUGACAUGAAGCUAAGUAAGAGGGGUGGCUGUCUUUGCGUUGCUCUAAUUAGAGUAACGGCAAGCAGGGAAAAAUAAGCAAUCAAUAAGAGAAAUAAAUGCACAGAGCUGCUUUUUCCUGUUUAGUCCUUUCUCAAGGCUU
Long non-coding RNA from Corythoichthys intestinalis (scribbled pipefish), 683 nucleotides. RefSeq lists it as uncharacterized. NCBI's taxonomy places the organism in Eukaryota, Metazoa, Chordata, Actinopteri, Syngnathiformes, Syngnathidae. The record is from RefSeq and is a predicted model, not a curated record. The transcript has 3 exons.